AGCGAACGCUGGCGGCAGGCUUAACACAUGCAAGUCGAGCGGGCGUAGCAAUACGUCAGCGGCAGACGGGUGAGUAACGCGUGGGAACAUACCUCUUGGUUCGGAACAACACAGGGAAACUUGUGCUAAUACCGGAUAAGCCCUUACGGGGAAAGAUUUAUCGCCGAGAGAUUGGCCCGCGUCUGAUUAGCUAGUUGGUAGGGUAAUGGCCUACCAAGGCGACGAUCAGUAGCUGGUCUGAGAGGAUGAUCAGCCACAUUGGGACUGAGACACGGCCCAAACUCCUACGGGAGGCAGCAGUGGGGAAUAUUGGACAAUGGGGGCAACCCUGAUCCAGCCAUGCCGCGUGAGUGAUGAAGGCCCUAGGGUUGUAAAGCUCUUUUGUGCGGGAAGAUAAUGACGGUACCGCAAGAAU
This 415-nucleotide ribosomal RNA is filed under the name bacterium Ellin5263. Its description in RNAcentral is "bacterial SSU rRNA". It matches the Rfam family "Bacterial small subunit ribosomal RNA", at positions 29 to 487 of the family's 1533-position model. The record is from RNAcentral. Lineage: Bacteria; Pseudomonadati; Pseudomonadota; Alphaproteobacteria; Hyphomicrobiales; Nitrobacteraceae.